Molecule: long non-coding RNA, 360 nt
Organism: Haliotis rubra (blacklip abalone)
Lineage: Eukaryota; Metazoa; Mollusca; Gastropoda; Lepetellida; Haliotidae
Exons: 2
Source: RefSeq, a predicted model, not a curated record
GAUAUAUAAUGCCACUGUGAAGAUGCUCCGUGGUUUUGCCUUCUUCGCCAGUGCAGGAUGUCAACUGUUGUGUGCAGUUAUCAUGAUAGUAUUCUUGUAUACCUCCCGCCGCGGGAUUGUAACUGAUAUCUCCACUGUUGCCAUCAACGACAACGACUAAACGCCAAGCCCCAUCAUCUACCAACACAAGUGUGUCACCGACACGACCAUGUGGUAUCCGUUGUUGAUGUUGUCGUCAAGGAACUAGGAUGACACUGAGUUAUUACUCUUAAAAUGAACCUGUCAAUACAGGGACCUUAUUAGUUCAUAACCUAAUUCUCAGGAACGUUUUGUAUAUUUGGAAUUAAAGCUUUAAUGCAU